UGCUCAAUGGAUUUUUUAAAUUGCUGUGGUAUUUUGACUAUACAAAGGUAUUGAAAUAAGGUUUUAAAUGAAUGCUAAAAGAAUGAAUUAACAGUAAAUGACUUUAUUUAUUUUAAAAUAUAAAAUUUUAUUUAAAAUUGAAAAAGAUUUUAUGUUUAUUUGGGACGAAAAGACCCUAUGAAUUUUUGAUUUUUAAUUUAUUUUAUCAAAAUUAAAAAUCUUUGUUGGGGUGACAGAUAAAGAAUGUGUAUCUUUCUUUUUUAUAAUGAUCCAUNUAUAAUGAUAAAAGGAAAUAAAUACUCUAGGGUUAACAGCGUAAUAAUUUUGGAUAGUUCAUAUUGAUAAAAUAGAUUGCGACCNCGAUGUUGGAUUAAGAUACUUAUUUAUUGAAGAAGGUAAAUUAAGAAGUUUGUUCAACUUUUAAUAUCUUACUUGAUCUGAGGUUCAGACCGGA
This 454-nucleotide ribosomal RNA is filed under the name Nuttalliella namaqua. RNAcentral's name for it is "partial 16S ribosomal RNA". Lineage: Eukaryota; Metazoa; Arthropoda; Arachnida; Ixodida; Nuttalliellidae. The record is from RNAcentral.